AGAAACAUAUAGCAAUUCUUUAUGAAGGAGUCAGAAAGCGUGGAGGACUACUGCAUAUACUGCAACCUUAUCAAAUGUGAAAAAGAAAGUGAGGAUUGCACGAUGGUCCAGUGUGAUUCUUGCAAGCGUGGCACAUUACCCUGCAUUACAGAAGG
This is a non-coding RNA of Chelonoidis abingdonii (Abingdon island giant tortoise), 155 nucleotides long. Lineage: Eukaryota; Metazoa; Chordata; Testudines; Testudinidae. The record is from RefSeq and is a predicted model, not a curated record.